Long non-coding RNA from Lycium barbarum (goji berry), 684 nucleotides. RefSeq lists it as uncharacterized. NCBI's taxonomy places the organism in Eukaryota, Viridiplantae, Streptophyta, Magnoliopsida, Solanales, Solanaceae. The record is from RefSeq and is a predicted model, not a curated record. The transcript is spliced from 3 exons.
ACUUGGUCUUCUUUGACCAAGUGAGGAAAAAUCAAGAAAAGAAAAGAAACAUCAAGAAAAAGGGAGAGAAUUCUAGAAAAGAAAGAAAUGGGGCAUGUGACCAUAAUUGGGGGACUAAAUUGCAAAUAUGGAUAAGUGAUGGAAGACCUAUAUAUAUAUAUACAUAAGAGGUCUUCAUAAUUAAAUUAGAGAGAAAGAAAGAACAACAAAAAAAAAAAAAAAGGGAAAGAAAGAGAGAGGGUUCGGCCAAGGUAUGGCCAAGCAUGGCCAAGGGAGAUUUGAUCAAGAAAAAUUAUUUCUUUCAAGCUUUUAUACUAAGUGGAAGGUUCUCUACAACGUGGAGUAUUCGUUGGAACAAGUGAAUCAUUCGUUUCACAAAAAUGAGGUUCUAGCCGGGAAAAGGAACUAGUGCUAAGAUUAACAAGUUGGACGAAUAAGCGUAGCUAGUAAGGCGCGGCGCAGGUACACCCAGAUGAGCUGAGGCCCUUAUAGAAGAUGUUCCAGCGAAGUUGGCGAGCUCCAGUUAGCCCGGGAGUGUAGCCGAGUCAGUGUAUAUGUGCCAUGGUUUCCGAUUGCAGUUAGAGACUUUGCAGACAGAGUCGUGGGUAUAGAGCGUCAACUUUGUAGACGGCUUCGCCUGUCAACAUGUUAUUACGUUUCAUGUCACGCGUUCCAUAUGAUGAU